RNAcentral lists this non-coding RNA (21 nucleotides) under Arabidopsis thaliana (thale cress). The record is from RNAcentral. Lineage: Eukaryota; Viridiplantae; Streptophyta; Magnoliopsida; Brassicales; Brassicaceae.
UAUAACCCCGUCCCGUGAAAU